CUAGAAGGGGUUUGCUCUUGUUAAGGCCUGGAAGAUCCAACAGUAUCAGAAACAGGCAGAAACAUAGGCAAAAGUUAGCAGAGAAGCAAAGGUAUACGAAACCUGGAUAAUUAGGCCUAAGAAGCUGUGCUAUUCACCGGCAAUUGGUCUAUGGAUAAACAGUUUGUGCCAAACUUGCCAGCCAGAGGAUUAGAGCCGGGGCCUCUGGCAGAGGCUACGUGUGGACAAAGGUUUGGAUGCCUGUGUGUGGAGGAGGGGCACGGCCAGAGGGCAGAUGAGGUGCAACCCCAAGGUUGUGGGUGAAACCAGAAUGCUGCCUUUUCCUUCUCACCCAGGUUAACACACAGGACCUGGGCCUCCAGUGCGCAGACACCAAUAUUUGUUCUCUAUCUCUGAGUAACAAGUCCUCACCAACCUAGAGGCUUCAUAACACCCAUUUAUUAGCUCAGUUUUGUAGGUCAGAAGUCUGGGGUGGGCUUCACCGAGUCUCUGGUUAGGGUCUCAAGGCCAACAUCAAGGCAUUGGCCAGGCUGAGCUCUUAUCGGAGGCUGUGGGGGAGAAUCUGCUCGCACGGUCAUUUAGGUUGUCAGCAGAACCAGUUCCCUGUGGUUGUAGGACUGAGGUCCCCGUUGUCUUGCUGGCUGUUGGCUGGGGGUCUGUCUCAGCUCCUAGAGGCUGCUCUCAAGUCCUUCCUCCGCAUCUUCAAAGCCAGUGACGGAGCAUCAAAUCCUUCGUGUGCUUGGAAUCUCUGACUUUCCUUCUGCCACCAGAGAAACUCUCUGCCUUUAAAGGGCUCUUGUGAUGAGGUCAGGCCCACCCAGAGAACCACUCUAUUUGAAGGUCAACUGAUUGGGAACCUUAACUCCACUGCAAAUCCCUUUUGCCAUAUAAUGUGAUAUAAUCACAGAAGCAACACCCAGAGAUGGAGAUCUCGGGGGCAUCUUAGAAUUCUGCCUUCCACAGGACCUGAGGCUUUGCGUCUGGGGCCCAGAGUGGCAUCCUUUGGAGCUAAAGAGACUUUUGUCUUCUGGCCAAAAAGCUGCCCCACUUGGUUCCACCCAGCCAUGGUGGGGUGGCCGACAGGCCUGGCCCCUGCUCUUACCAUAAAGACGGGAGAUAUAGGAACAGAGAGAAAAUGCACCCCACCCACCCGACACCAGGUUCCUUUUUCUGAAAGCCUCAUAGGAACCUGACCUCCCUAAGGGGAAGCUCAAAAAUGCACAGAGAAACAAAGCCCGGCCCUGCCAUCAGGGAGCUCACCCACUAACGGCCUCCACUUGCCCCCCAACACCCCCCAUCUUUGCACUCGGGUCUCACGCCUUGAAGAGAGCCCCAGAGUUGUCCAGACUCCCCACUAUCUGCCUCACCCUCCCUCACACCCCCAUUAGUGGUGGACAGGCCUGGGCACGGUGACUUCAGGACUUGGCAGCUCCCCUGGCAUUCCCUGGCCCACCUCCUGGCCACCCAGAUGGUGCCCAGCCUGGAGACGCAGUUCCUGGGCUGUUCCCUGCAGAUGGCCUGCCUUUGGGGAGGGCAGAGGAGAGAGGAGUGGGAGGCCCUCCCACGGGGGCCUCCUGCAGCAGCCUCUCAGCCUGGCCUCAUCCCUCACCUCCUCAUCCCGCCUCCGGCCUGUCUGCUGGCUGCCCGCUCCCUCAAGGGUCUGCCCUUAACAUGUUCCCAGCACUUUCUGGAACAUGUUUUGAGCUCCUUUCAAUGCCCCUUCCUGUAGCAAGGCCAGGGCCUGGAGGACUCUUGGUCAAACAACUUAUCCAGAGCUCCCAUGUGAAGCCGUCUUUCGGGCCUGUGGCCUUUCCUUUCCCCUGGGACCACGCAGAAGGCAGCAAGUGACAUGGCGGGAUCCUCUGCAGGCCACCAGGGGUGUGGGUGGUGAAGGGUCCAGGCAGCACUCCCGAUUCCUUGGGGCCCAGACGCUGCAGAGCUGCUGGACAGGAUGCGCACAGCAAGGACGCUGACUGAUUUUUAGGGACCAAGCCCUCUGCUGGGCACCUUUCUGAAGGCAGAGAGGAAGCUGAAGGCCGUGGAGCUGCUGAAAUGUCUUGAAGGCUGCAUGAAGGGCGCUGCCCACUCCCCUUGCUCCUGCGAGGGGUCAGAAGGGCACUGACUGGGGAGGUGAGGGGCCAGUCACCCCCCUUACCCGGGCUCAGACUCCCGACACACGGCCGCACGAGAGAUGCGCAGGUUGAGUGCAUGGUCCCCAGGCUCCAGGAUUCAGAAGUCUUUAUAAGGUUGGGACCACACCCCUCCUAUAUGGCCCCGGGAGGUGUUUAGUCAUCUAGAAGCAGAAGCAAGCUCUUGGAAAAGUCAACAGCCACACCUCUUGCUCCUGUGAAAUCCUCUUCCUUCCUGGGUGUGGCCUUUCUACCCCGAGGUCGAGGUCG
RNAcentral lists this long non-coding RNA (2399 nucleotides) under Equus asinus (donkey). RNAcentral's name for it is "lncRNA (ENSEASG00005036648.1)". The record is from RNAcentral. Lineage: Eukaryota; Metazoa; Chordata; Mammalia; Perissodactyla; Equidae.